UGGCUCUCGCAUCGAUGAAGAACGCAGCGAAAUGUGAUAAGUAAUGUGAAUUGCAGAAUUCAGUGAAUCAUCGAAUCUUUGAACGCACCUUGCGCUCUCUGGUAUUCCGGAGAGCAUGCCUGUUUGAGUGUCAUGAACUCUUCAACCCACCGGUUCCUUGUUGGACCGCCGUGGUGUUUGGAUUUUGAGCGCUGCUGGUCGAAAGACUUUAGCUCGUUCGUAAUACAUUAGCAUCUCAAUUUCGUAAUCGGAUUGACUCAGCGUAAUAGACUAUUCGCUGAGGACACGGGGUAACCUGUGGCCGAACAUGAAUGAGUAUGGAAGCUUCCAAUCCCUCUAGUCACCUUUAGAUUAGACCUCAGAUCAGGCAGGAUUACCCGCUGA
This 384-nucleotide unclassified non-coding RNA is filed under the name uncultured fungus. RNAcentral describes it as "partial contains 5.8S ribosomal RNA and internal transcribed spacer 2". The stretch from base 1 to 133 matches the Rfam family "5.8S ribosomal RNA", at positions 22 to 154 of the family's 154-position model. The record is from RNAcentral. Lineage: Eukaryota; Fungi.